UACGAAGGGUGCAAGCGUUAAUCGGAAUUACUGGGCGUAAAGCGCGCGUAGGUGGUUCAGCAAGUUGGAUGUGAAAGCCCUGGGCUCAACCUGGGAACUGCAUCCAAAACUAACUGAGCUAGAGUACGGUAGAGGGUAGUGGAAUUUCCUGUGUAGCGGUGAAAUGCGUAGAUAUACGGAGGAACACCAGAGGCGAAGGCGGAUCGCUGGGGCCAACACUGACGCUGAGACGCGAAAGCUAGGGUAGCAAACGGGAUUAG
RNAcentral lists this ribosomal RNA (260 nucleotides) under uncultured bacterium. Its description in RNAcentral is "partial 16S ribosomal RNA". It matches the Rfam family "Bacterial small subunit ribosomal RNA", at positions 524 to 781 of the family's 1533-position model. The record is from RNAcentral.